This 201-nucleotide ribosomal RNA is filed under the name Triticum aestivum (bread wheat). RNAcentral describes it as "partial small subunit ribosomal RNA". The record is from RNAcentral. Lineage: Eukaryota; Viridiplantae; Streptophyta; Magnoliopsida; Poales; Poaceae.
AUGUAAAUUCGUUUCACAGAAAUUCAAAGAUUUUCGAUCUCCUCGAAAGAAAAUGAGUUCGAUCAGCAACACCAGUCUCCGCAGCACCAGGACAAUGACCUUCUUUUUACCCAUAACCUUUCUCUACAGCAUUGGAACCAAGAUCAGGCUUGGCUUGGCAUAGUUACGAGGUUCCCGUUCUAUUUAACUAACACUAACUGA